Long non-coding RNA from Oncorhynchus kisutch (coho salmon), 1646 nucleotides. The record is from Ensembl. NCBI's taxonomy places the organism in Eukaryota, Metazoa, Chordata, Actinopteri, Salmoniformes, Salmonidae.
GCAACAACAAAAAAGACAUAGCAAUGUAAUAUUCCGUGCUCUCUGAUUUGAGUAUAAUGAACCCCGUUUCUUUGUGAUGUUUUCUGUCCUCAGAUACAGAGAGCUGUGAAACCCUGUCUACAGAUGAAGAGAAAGGUCCCAAUGAAUGUCCCAAUAGAAUAAGGACACGUGCCCUACCCUAAUCUGUAUCCAGACCAGUCCACUAAGCGAGAAGUGGACAAUGGAAGAGCGCUUCCGACCUCUGACCUUCCACAGCAUCAUCUUUGCGGUCCCAGUUGGUCAACCUGCUCAUCCGUGGCGUCUGCUACACAGAGAACCAGUCGAUUGUGGGAAUAAUCACACGACACAAUUUAACCCACGAGUUCCUUUUGGUGAAACUCAGACAGCACUACAUCACCAUUUCAGCUCCAGAGUCCAGUCUUUAAAGCCGACAAGAACCGCCUGCGUCUUGCUGUCCUUGGGACACAAUCCCCCCUGUAACUGGAUCUGUACCAUGCUUUUCCAUGUCUUAUCCAUUACACACACCCAACCAUACAGCAUCCAUUCUCUGUAUGAGAUAAUAGGCACACACCCCUUGUAAUGAAAGCUGGUGACUUUUGUCUGCUGAAGAGCCUUCUAUCACCCAAAGACGUCCUCCGUGUCCCAACACAUUUCCAUGCUUUACCAACCAACCAACGAUUUAUCAUCAUUAUCACUGUGACACUUUUGUUUAGAUUUCUGACUGUAUUUUUUUAUUCUAUGUUUACUGUAUAUUUAAAUGUUCUAUUCUAUAUAUUUGCACUAAAACCAUUUCACUGUUCCGCCAGUGCUUCGAUCAAAGUAGGCUCAUCAAGAGAUCGAGAUUAGGGACCGUUUCUAAUCAAGGGAUAUGUUUGGAGCUACAUUAACACAAAAAUGCAUAAUUGCACUUGCAUAUGUGAAGCUGAACAACAGACAGUUGUUCUCACAAAUAUUCAGGCAACAGGGUUAUGAGAGUGGAAUGGAAUCAACAAAAGUUUAUUAAUUUUAUUUUUGUUAUUUUGACUAAAUAUGCUGGGCCAAGGAAGGCUCAGCAUAUUUUCUAGACAGAAAAUGGUGGAUGUCUGUUUGUCAGUAUUAAUCCUUAAGAGUCUAUUGGCGUACCCGUGUGUCAAUCUAUGUAACAUAACAAAAAUACCCCCAUCAAAAUCUGUCAGGUUAAGCUAGAGAUAUCAGUGUUUUUGCAUGGGCUGCGUAACAAUCCACCACAUCCGCCUAUGUCAGGCAUUCCGCAUCUGCGGUUGAAGGUGGCUUGUAUGUCUUCCAUUUCCUAAUAAUUGCUCCCACAGUUGAUUUCUUCAAACCAAGCUGCUUACCUUUUGCAGAUUCAGUCUUCCCAGCCUGGUGUAGGUCUACAAUUUUGUUUCUGGUGUCCUUUGACAGCUCUUUGGUCUUGGCCAUAGUGGAGUUUUGGAGUGUGACUGUUUGAGGUUGUGGACAGGUGUCUUUUAUACUGAUAACAAGUUUAAACAGAUGCCAUUAAUACAGGUAACGAGUGGAGGACAGAGGAGCCUCUUAAAGAAGAAGUUACAGGUCUGUGAGAGCCAGAAAUCGUGCUUGUUUGUACGUGAUCAAAUACUUAUUUUCCACCAUAAUUUGCUAAUAAAUUCAUUAAAAAUCCUACAAUA